RNAcentral lists this ribosomal RNA (524 nucleotides) under Dujonia zeylanoides. Its description in RNAcentral is "[Candida] zeylanoides partial large subunit ribosomal RNA". It matches the Rfam family "Eukaryotic large subunit ribosomal RNA", at positions 65 to 594 of the family's 3401-position model. The record is from RNAcentral. Lineage: Eukaryota; Fungi; Ascomycota; Pichiomycetes; Serinales; Debaryomycetaceae.
CCAACAGGGAUUGCCUCAGUAACGGCGAGUGAAGCGGCAAAAGCUCAAAUUUGAAAUCUAGCACUUUCAGUGUUCGAGUUGUAAUUUGAAGAAGGUAACUUUGGUUUUGGCUCUUGUCUAUGUUCCUUGGAACAGGACGUCACAGAGGGUGAGAAUCCCGUGCGAUGAGAUGCCCAAUUCCAUGUAAAGUGCUUUCGAAGAGUCGAGUUGUUUGGGAAUGCAGCUCUAAGUGGGUGGUAAAUUCCAUCUAAAGCUAAAUAUUGGCGAGAGACCGAUAGCGAACAAGUACAGUGAUGGAAAGAUGAAAAGAACUUUGAAAAGAGAGUGAAAAAGUACGUGAAAUUGUUGAAAGGGAAGGGCUUGAGAUCAGACUUGGUAUUUUGCGUUCCCUUCCUUUUUGGUUGGGUUCCUCGCAGUUUACUGGGCCAGCAUCGGUUUGGAUGGUAGGAUAAUGACAUUGGAAUGUAGCUUUACUUCGGUGAAGUGUUAUAGACUUUGUUGAUACUGCCUAUCUAGACCGAGGA